Molecule: long non-coding RNA, 1006 nt
Organism: Cavia porcellus (domestic guinea pig)
Lineage: Eukaryota; Metazoa; Chordata; Mammalia; Rodentia; Caviidae
Exons: 2
Source: RefSeq, a predicted model, not a curated record
CCACCAUGCAUGGCCUCCAUGUUUGGUUUAGAACAAUGGAUUCCACUCUAGUAUUUUAUUUGUUCCAGUCAAGAUACAAGGGAUGGCUCAGCUAAGAGGAAUGUUCCAAUUCUAACAGAAAAGAUUUCAUAACUUUCUUUAAAUGAUGAGUGACAAAUAUACCACUAUGGUAACCAUUAAGAUACCUAACAAUGUUACCAUGAUGCAGUCCUUUGAGUCAUACUUUCAUGGGCCUGGGAUUCACAGCCUGAAUAUUUGAUGUUUUCUGGCCUGCUGACUAUGCUCUCUUCUAAUGAGUAGAAGAAAUCUUCCAAAUAAAAAGCUGUGCGGAAGCAAACCCUCCAUAUCUCUGUUUACUACUUUUGCAGUUGCUGAUAAUGCAGAUUCUGACAGCUCAGACUCAGUUUGAGGGAGAGCCUCCUCCUCUCCCUGGCUGCCACCACAGCCUUCUGAAGAAGUGUGCAAAGGGACCUCAUGCUCCAAGCAUGGACAAGUCACGCUCAGUCUCAAGACAUAUGCUAACUCUUCUGAGCCCCCGAAUACCGUGCCCCUGGGAAAAGCUGAAGAACUACAAGUCCCCUGGUACUGCACUGUGCCCACCAAAGACCCAAGAGGGCAGAGGGAUGCUGGGAAUUUAACCAAGUCAUCUGACUCAGACACUGUAAAACAUGGGGCAGAGCUUUCUGUGUAGUGAAGAGUUAGGCAGCUGAAAUUCAAUCUCUGUGAAGUGAUAAGCCUUAAUUUCUGAGAACCCCAUUACUAAGAUCUUUAACUCAACACAGUAGGGCAGUACUUAGUCAAAUAACAAUAUAAAGACAUAGAGGGAAAGGCCCCGUGCCAACUUUCAGGUUUAGAAGUGUAUUUCAUGAUUUUUUUCAGCAGUACAUUUUAGAACAAAACUAACCCAGCAACGAACUACAUGUACAUAAACUCAGGAGUUGCCUAAACCAGGGGACUUUGUAUAAAAGAUUCUAUUCAUAAAUAAAACAACCUUCGUUCAAAGUAA